Cyprinus carpio carpio is the source of this 411-nucleotide long non-coding RNA. The record is from Ensembl. NCBI's taxonomy places the organism in Eukaryota, Metazoa, Chordata, Actinopteri, Cypriniformes, Cyprinidae.
GAAGGAAAUUACGGCAGGAACUGAAAUCACUUGACUAUGGUGGGAAAGAAUGGCCCUGGCAUAAAGAGAUUCCCCCUACUGUUACAAGCACUGCUGCUCAAGAGUCUAUUAAAGACCAUUUCCAAGACUAAACCAUGUCAUCCACAGUCUCUAUUGAAGAAGGCGUACCGGAAAUGGACGAAGACGACGUCAGCGGUCACGUGGAUGGAGACGACGACGUUACGUCAGAAGGAGGAGACACUGGAACCGAUACUCAUACAUGCGACAUCGAGGCAUAAAACAUGAGCACCUCACCUGGAACACAUCUAACGGUUUAUCAACUGGACUCACUUUCAUCCUAAGCGACGUUCAAUACCCUAAAGGAUACUGGGACUACUAUAAAAUCAGAAAAGUUGUUGUUCAAAUAUGGCC